Molecule: transfer RNA, 76 nt
Filed under: Eubacteriales Family XIII. Incertae Sedis bacterium
Lineage: Bacteria; Bacillati; Bacillota; Clostridia; Peptostreptococcales; Anaerovoracaceae
Description: tRNA-Lys
Rfam family: tRNA
About the family: Transfer RNA (tRNA) molecules are approximately 80 nucleotides in length. Their secondary structure includes four short double-helical elements and three loops (D, anti-codon, and T loops). Further hydrogen bonds mediate the characteristic L-shaped molecular structure. tRNAs have two regions of fundamental functional importance: the anti-codon, which is responsible for specific mRNA codon recognition, and the 3' end, to which the tRNAs corresponding amino acid is attached (by aminoacyl-tRNA synthetases). tRNAs cope with the degeneracy of the genetic code in two manners: having more than one tRNA (with a specific anti-codon) for a particular amino acid; and 'wobble' base-pairing, i.e. permitting non-standard base-pairing at the 3rd anti-codon position.
Source: RNAcentral
GGGCCGUUAACUCAGUCGGAAGAGUAUCUGCCUUUUAAGCAGAGAGUCGCGCGUUCGAAUCGCGCACGGCCCACCA